GAUGAACGCUGGCGGCGUGCCUAAUACAUGCAAGUCGAGCGAACAGACGAGGAGCUUGCUCCUUUGACGUUAGCGGCGGACGGGUGAGUAACACGUAGGUAACCUACCUAUAAGACUGGGAUAACUUCGGGAAACCGGAGCUAAUACCGGAUAAUAUUUCGAACCGCAUGGUUCGAUAGUGAAAGAUGGCUUUGCUAUCACUUAUAGAUGGACCUGCGCCGUAUUAGCUAGUUGGUAAGGUAACGGCUUACCAAGGCAACGAUACGUAGCCGACCUGAGAGGGUGAUCGGCCACACUGGAACUGAGACACGGUCCAGACUCCUACGGGAGGCAGCAGUAGGGAAUCUUCCGCAAUGGGCGAAAGCCUGACGGAGCAACGCCGCGUGAGUGAUGAAGGUCUUCGGAUCGUAAAACUCUGUUAUUAGGGAAGAACAAACGUGUAAGUAACUGUGCACGUCUUGACGGUACCUAAUCAGAAAGCCACGGCGAACUACG
RNAcentral lists this ribosomal RNA (495 nucleotides) under uncultured bacterium. RNAcentral's name for it is "partial 16S ribosomal RNA". It matches the Rfam family "Bacterial small subunit ribosomal RNA", at positions 28 to 505 of the family's 1533-position model. The record is from RNAcentral.